Gallus gallus (chicken) is the source of this 9939-nucleotide long non-coding RNA. RefSeq lists it as uncharacterized. The transcript has 5 exons. Lineage: Eukaryota; Metazoa; Chordata; Aves; Galliformes; Phasianidae. The record is from RefSeq and is a predicted model, not a curated record.
AUAGACAGUUCAGUCUGAGUCUUCAGCCCUGAAUCUUGAAAGGGCUUGUGCUCCAUGCAGGGGGUGGAAGAAGACUUGAGGGGUAUCUUAACACCCCAUCUAGACAGCCAGCACAAAUGCUAGUGUCUGACAUCCUAAAGCAGUCCAUUUGGGAUAAUUUACCUUAGCAAACUGCUCCUCCUAAGUCACAUAUCACAGCACUGGAAACCCUGGUGCACUGGUUUCCCUUUCAGAAGUCUAGUGGUGUUAAAACUUAAUGUGUAGAAACUUGUGCUCAGUCAGUUCAUACCACGUUCCAGAGGUAGGGCACUCCCUCUUACAUCUAUCUUGCAUCCAAAUCAACAACACGAAAAAGCUGCUUUGGAGCUUUUUCUUUUUAAAGGUGUGGUAGGAAUCUGACCCAGCAAAGCAGAGGUAACAGAAACUGGGAAAGGACAAGGUUAAAGAUAUUCUCUGCUGUGUCUCAUUAUGUGAGCCUUGCAAUGGAGCCUGUAAUUGCAUGAGCGCACAGUCAAUCCAUAGUGUGGUAAAGCUGAUACAAUUUAAUAUAAGCACUUAAACAUAGCUUCAUUCCUGAAAUCUUGCACUUCUCUUGCUUUAAUUACGACAAUUACAGAGCUGUUAGGGAAAAAACAUCAGCUUUCCAGGAGAAGGCAACAUCAAACACGUAUCUGGUGUGCUCUGCUUGGCAAAUUUCGGCUUCUGAGAACGCUCCCGAGUGAUCCGUCCUAGUCCUUUGCAGGCCUUAGAUCUAACGUAGCACAGAACUUCAUGCAGACCACCCUCAGAGGUAAUGAGAUGCAAAGCAUUUCAAGUUGAGAACACACAAACGACCUCCAAAAAGUGAGAGAAACUAAUUGAAACCAAAAGUGGCGCUCACCACGUGUUUGCAAUUGAGAUUACAAGCAGGGAUGCAUAUUUCAAGGUCAUAUUCUGGUCGGGGAUGCAGAAUGUGACUGUGAGAGCGGCACCUGUGGAGCAGAGCAGGGAAUUGCCCCUUGGUGGCCUGGAGAAGUUGCAUGGACACUGGUGUCACUGAUGGGCUGAGGAGAGCUCUCUUCUGAAGAGCUGAGUUAGAAUCAGUCGAUCCUCCAUAGAAUCGUAGAAUUGCUCAGGUUGGAAAAGACCUUAAAGACCGUCAAGUCCAACUGCAACCUGACCAUACUACCCUAAAUCUAACAAUGCAACUCUUUGCUUGUGGGGGUGGUGGAGGAAGAAUAUAUGCUGUGAAAAUGGAUUUCUUUAGGUCUGCCAUGACUUGCGUGAGCGUGGCCCUGAGCUAGCCAGCUCAGUUCUAUGAUUCAGUUCUCAGUUCCCUAACAGCUAAUUAAGGGGCAGGAAGGAACCACAUCCAUUACCGUACUGUGCUGAAGACUGCUGUUGUCCAGUGUGUGGAUCCAGCAGCAACUGGGAAUCCAAGGAGCUUUUCCAGCAGAACGCUUCCUUCUGAAAGAUGGCGUUCAGGGGAAGGUGGCAGCUCUAGUUCUGGGUUUUUCUACCAGCCUGAUUUCUCAGAGGCAAUUUAUACCAGGGCUGAAGUAAUCUUCUGUGGAUUCCAACCAGCGUGGAGGCCGCAACCUGCAUGCAGUCAAUUUUGCAUUCAUUGUACCAAAUUUUGUAGCCAGUCAGUCUGCUUCUCAGUCUCUGACCACAGUUGUUCACAGCAAGCCCUACCAGCUAGAACACUUCAUGUCCAGAUGGCUGUGAAAACUGUGAAGGACCUGGCUAUCAGCAUGAAUCCUUUGCAUUUUUAAGUGAUCUCCAUCCUAAAACAACAAUAACAAAAAAAGACCAUUUCCUACUCUACUUUCCUUUUCUUUCUUUCCAUAUUUUGAUCAAUGUUUCCCUGUGUGUACUCGCUCUGUGAUGAGUGCUUAGUUUCCUUAACAGCAUCCCAGAGGAACCUGAUUCCCCCUGUCCUGCAGACUCAUUCAGGGAAUUUCAGUACGUUUGGAGCUUGAUUUCUCUUUAUGAAGCUAUCUUUAUUUUUUUCCCCAAAUGUUCCAUUUGUUCAUUUAUCACAAGACGAUUUCUUUACUGUAGUUUCUAUUUAUUUGCCUUGGGGAGUUGUUGGGCUUAUUGGUCUACAGUUCCCUGGGUUCUCUGGACAUUACAUCACUGCUUCCAGCACCAGGGUGAUCUUGAUCAAGAGGCAGAAUAUCACAGCUGGGGCUGAGCCAUUUCAUCCUUCGGUUCUUCCAGAACUCCUGCACUAAUAUCCUCUUGUCUGAUGAUUUGUUGGUGUUCCUUUCUCUGUCUGCCUUACGACCUCUCUUACUCACAAUUCAAUCUCAGAAAGAUCCUGAGCCCCCCUAAACACGGUUCUGGUCUGGGAACUUCUGGUGCUCACAGCUGUUCCAUCAUAUGUCUGCCAUUGACAGGUAAGCAAUCGCAGCCCCGGUCAAUACUUGCAGGUUUAAUAUUGGAUGCUUCUGCCAUUCCCUGGGGAGAGGUAUGUGAUGUAAUGGAACUGACAAUCAUUUGAGUGAGCUGCUCCUCUCUGACCUAGAUUUGGUCCCAGUCCUAUACAGAUGCUGCAUUAUGUAAACGGAGCACGCACACAUCUCUCUCUGGGUAUAAGAGAUGCAAGCAUAAAACCUCGUGUGAACAGAUGCUGAGAAUAUACAAUUCAGCCUUUGAUAACCUCCUGCUACUCUUAACCUAUGGAAGCUGAGAUCACAUAUUAGUAAAACUUGGCCAUAAUUUUAAGUGACUCAAAAAAAAUACUCUCCAAUUAAAUCACUUAAUGGAGCAGGUAGAGAUUUGAUUUACAGCUAUGCUGCUUUCAUAAUGGGUUAUUCCGUGGGGGCAAGAAAUGUAUUGCAUCUCCUUGAAUUUUUAAUGUGUGAAUAGUUUGUAAAUAAUUGAUAAAGCCUGUCCUUUAUUGUUGAUUUGUUUUUUUCUUAUUUUUUUCACCCAUUGAAAGAAAUAAUAUUAAUCAGAAGUUUGAAGUUUAAGUCGUCAUCUCUUCCCAAGUCUCAGGGGAAAUGAAAACAAACAGGUAGUUUCCUUGCAGGAGAGAAAAGAUUCCCUGAACACCAUGACAGAACCAAUUGCUGGACCUCAGCCUUAUGGGGGAGGAGAACAUUGCCCUGUUAGGAAUUGAAUUUGCUGUUGUGGCUACAGAAGACAACUUUGUUGGAAUGCUUGUAGCCCAGGAGGAAACGUUCAGUGCACCGACUGGAACGGAGCCAGCUAGGAAGGGACUUCAGCAGGAAGGGCUGCACAGCUUCCCAGCCAUCACAGGAUCAGAGCAGCCGUGGACCUGAGGAGGUGAUUAAGAAUCAAGUGCCCGUGACAAAUAGCCCUUCAGAGGAAGUUAGCUUUUGUGGGAGCAACUCGAGCUGACCCUGAGUCACAGCAAAGAAGCCUGUGGAGGAAUCAUGGCCAGCCAACAGGUUGAGUUGGAGGAAAUCUCUUAGAUAGAUGGACUAUCAGACUGUGAAAAAGCAUAAGAUCAACGAGGCUGGAGACCACUGGCAUCCAAUGGCCUUGACAAACAGUGUCAGUUCAACAUGCUCCAAGCCAUCUGCUCCUUGGCACGGGUAAUUCUGGCUAGCAUUCAUUCCAGCUACUGAGGAUCUUCAGCCUAACUCUGCUGGGGAAACCAAGGGCACAAGGACAAACCCCAGCAGGAAAUUAAAUUAAUCUGAAAUACAGCAGUCCCUAUUUGAAGAAGCCAUCAGUGUGGUCAGCCUGAUGCAAAGUGUUGGGUGAAGUGGCUCGAAUAUUAAUGUAAUGGAUUAGAGGCCUCUGUGACCAUGGUUAGUUUUCCCUUGAGGUAUUUUGGUGAUUCACAAGAUCUUUUAAAUGCUGAUCAGAAGAAGAGGUUGAUUCAUCGUGUUAACAUUAAAAGAUAUUGGAGGAGGCUAAAAUCUUUGUAUUUCCAAAGUAUAGGAUGAACUUUAUUAUGAAGAGCAGACCCUGAUGUAGCUGUCUGUUAAAGGACUAUCUUCUUGUGAAGCACCCGAGGCUGCUGUAUGUUGGAGACAUAAACAGGAGUGCUAAGUGAGCCUUGGUUGCCAUUGCUGGGAUGGAGGAUUGAGGGCUGAAGGCUCUGUAGGGUUUGCUUGGGUCACACUGAAACACCUCCAAAUGUGUGUGUUUCAGUUUUGGAUCUGUAGUGGAUGGGACUGGGUGAAAAAGGCAAAUCUUUAGCUGCCGAAAUUACCAAAGUAAUAAAGAAGCCAAGGAUUCAAGAAUAAAAUAAGAUCCUUUCAUGUGCAAGUAAGAUAUUGGACAGACGUAGAUGAAAAGAAUGCAGCCUAUGUCAGUACCUUUCUCUUAUGUUGAGAUCCUUGUGUUUCCAACUGCUUCUUGAAUUUAACAAAGCAUGUCUGUAUUCUACUUGUCACUUACUGUACAUCCUUGUGCCUGGGACAGAGUAUUUAUAUACAAAACAUUCUGAUAUGUAUAAUCCAGCACUGAAUGCAGAUAUUUUUGACUGCAGUUCACUUUCUCAUUGGGUUAAUUUUUCAUUGGGUAGGCUUAGCUCACCAUAAAAGCAGGUUAGAACGUAGCCACAGGUAUUUUGUGCUAGUUUGUGCACUGCAACUCUUUCACUUGCCUUGUGAUACCUUGCCUUGUGAUAUCUUAUGCACGUCCCCCUGCCUGCAGAAAAUCGGGAGAGCUGUCCUGGGACAGUAAUUAUGUAUCACAGAAUACGAACACAUUUUCCCAGAGAUAUUGCCCUACUUUGAAUGAAAUGAAACAGAAAGGCAAAUGAAGAAGAGAUUGAGAUUUGGAAGGAAAUGUGAUAACAGAAGCUUCUGUAAUCUAAUACUAUGUCAGGUGUGUGCACAAUUAAUAAUUAAGAGGCAACUAUUCACAAUUUUCUUACUCUUUUUCACAAUAUUCUCUUUCCCAAACUUACCUUGAGCUGCUGUUUUGAAGAUAAGACUGUUGGUUUCUUAUGGGCUCUGUAAUACUCGAAGUUUCAACGUAUGACUGCUUUGUAAUGACAAACUUUUUCUAAUGCCCCUUGGAUGGAAGUUUCAUUAUUUUUACAAUGAGUGCUGAGUUAGAGCAAAAAAAAAAGUUCAAUUUUAGACUUCCAGUUUGAUUUUUUUCCAUAACCCUUGGCGUCAUUGACUUACUCUGUUCCCUUUCGCAGUUCACAUUCCAGGAGCGAGUAUUCAGCAGCUGGGUAAAUCAGCCCCAAGAAUCCGGAUUUGAUCUUUUCCAAAAUGUUUGAGAUCAUUUUCUCUUUUGAACAUAUCGGAAACAAGGGGAGAUGGAUUUCUGUAGCUGAUGACAGCUGAUUCAGAGCAAUGACAUCAUAAAAUAGUGUGGGUCGUAGGGACUGAGAGCUUGUUAGGAUGUGGAUAUGGACCCCUUGUCUUGGGCUAGCAGUUGAGUCAGAGGGAGUCAAAGAUGUCUAUGGGCAAUAUGUCUGAGUUACAGAGAAAUAAGCUGGCAGAUUCAUCUUUUGGGUCCUGUGGCAUUUCGUGAAAGAAUGCUCUUUUAAAAAUUUGUGUUGGAUGCAACUGUGCUCCCAUAAGGGUAGAGAGAAGGAGAGGAUAUGUGGCAAUUUCUGUAAGUGCUUACUGAAAGGAAAAUUAUCUUGGCAGUCUCAUCCUGCAGCUGGCAAAUCCACAUGACUUUUCUCCAGGGAUGCAGGUAGCGGUCCCUUCUUCUUUAGUAGUAUGUAAAAUACAGUGUAUUUGAGUUUGCUUUCCAAAAUCUGAAGAGGUCUGCAAAAUAUGAGAAGAAACAAUGCAUUGUUUUCAAUCAGUGAAUUAAAAUAAAAUAACUUAUAUUCACAGAAAGUCAACUAUGGGUAGGGAUGCUCUGAAGAAGGUAGAGCAUUAUUAUGUCGGCCAGUAUGAACAGAAUGAGAACUGGUGGCUUUAGUCAAGAAGCAAUAGGUUGAGUCUUCACAUCAAACUUUAUUUUGAAUGGAUUUUGUCAAGCUCUUUCAGCAGCAAGGCUGUAAUGCACUGCACUGCCUAUCUAAAAGGUGUCUGCCUCCAUUCUGCUUUGAUACAGAACAGUUUAAGUAUUUAAGCUUUUGCCAUCAGUUAAACUUGGAAAAUGUUUGCACAGAAGUACAGCGCUGAAUGAAAACUUUCUUAGUGGUGGAAAGACAGAAAAUCCAGUAGUUCAGUUAUAUUUUUGUGUAUGUACUUGGAUAAAUAUCUAUCUAUUUGGGUAAAUAUACAGAGGGGCAGCCUACAGAAGUAGCAGUUCACGCAGGGGCGAAAGCAGAAGACAGACUCCUUGAUACCCAAAUAAGGAGAUAAAGGACACUGUGUCAGUCCUACAGAUGUGUAAAGGUGAGGAGACAGGUGGAAGAGAAGAAAAGAUCCCAAUCACUAUGAGCUUCUAAAGGGAGUGAAAGGCACGUCUCAAGCCAGCAUAUCCUCAGCAGGCUUUGAAGGAUGCAAGAGGCACAGCCAGGACUCGAUGACUGGUGUAUCUGGUCCCCCUGUGUUGUCUUGAGACCUUAUGGGUAAACACGCCUGCGUGCUGGCAGCCACACUUGCACAUGUGAAUCUGGUUUCCUGAGAGAAGGUGGAUGGACGAAGAUAUGUUUUAAAAUCAAUUAUAAUUAUGAGUCAGUUACUGAAGUAAGCUCACGUGUUGAUUUUUGUUACGAUACCACAACAUCAUUUCCUGAGGAGAAGCUUGCUGACAGCAGAGAAAAGCUUGUUAAGGAAAGGACUUUUCUCCAAUUAGGAGGCAGCUGCUGAUGCUCUUAUCUGACUGCUUUGUAGUGUUUUAAUGUCUAAACAGCCUGAACACUGCAAUUGCAAUAAUGAACUCUGCAUAGCAUAGGGGAGUAGCCAACUGACAUCAUUAGCACUAGGGACGCCGAGCAGGGAAGGUAAUAGGAGGAAGAUAUGACCAUUUUCACUGGACAUAAUAUAGGUAAAUUGAUGAGUAUAUACUGGAGUAAGUUCAUACUUAGUCCUUGUUUGACUCUAGAAGCAGCAGCAAGGUCGUUCUGAAUACCUUUCACGUAUCCGCAGUGGUGCUGUGCUGACUGCAUGUCAGAGUUUACGAGAAGAGCCAGCUGAGCUGUUUGCUGUGAGCAAUUUAGAAAAUAUCCCUAGAGUUAAAUACACAUCCUAUACCUCCUGCAGUUUCUCUUCUAACAGGUCAGGUUGUUGUCUGCGAGCAAGUGGGAAGGUAAAGAAGCCCUUAUCUUCUUUCUUCAAUUCUACUGAGCCAAACUCAGGAAAAUUACUGUGACCGAUAAAGUGAGAGAAAGCUGUUUGCUGGUGGCAGUCGCUGGCAUCCUACUCAAACACUGCAAAUGUCAGGUUUUAUCACGGUGGAAAGUCAGAAUUGGCUGUAGCAGCUGUAUUUUCUGUAGGUAAUCUCUGAUCAUCAGACUCCGCGUAUACUCCAGUCUCUAUCCGGCAUUUCUUUUCCAAUGUCUUUUCUCUGUCUUCCCCCCCGCCCCCAAUAAGUGUUUUGAGAGAUUUACUAAGCAGACUGCAGAACACCACUGAAUUUGCUCUCUCCCAUUUGCUCUGAAUUUGGUCUCUCCCAUUGCAAGGCAAAGAGCACAAAAAACAUGCUUGCCUUUGUGGCGAGGAAGAGAACGAUCACUGAAAAUGUGGAUGGCCAUUUGCUGUCUUCUUUCUCAGGCAAUUACAGUUGGAACUGAGCAUCUUAGUUGGUGGGAUCAAUCUGAUAACUUUGUCUCUUUGAGUCUUCCAUAGGAGAUCUCACUGGAAUGAGGAAGAAGAUGCUCUCAUAGACACAAAGCCAUUAGGCACAAAACUGUACAAAAAGUUGGAUAUCAUUUUUUAGUCCUAUUUCUGUAUCUUACUGAGUUCUUGUUCUGUUUUCAGCAUGUCCCUUCAGUGAGGAUAUCCUGGUACAGUCAGGAUCUUCUGAUACAUUUUUUAAAUUCUUGUCCCAGAUUGUUCAAAAAAGUACUUUCUCUGUGAUGAAGACAAAAGUUCCUUCUUCUGUCAAACCUCAGCUUUCAUAAAAGUGACUGAGCUAUUUUAGAUCAAAACUUCAGCAAAAGUACUUGCCUUUGGGAAGGCCAACCUCAGAAACUUUCUGUAUGGUAUGAAGUCCAGGAAUCAGCAUUAGUGGAACUUGGUGUUCACAGGGAAAACUCUGAUGAAAUGGGGAUAGGAUGCUUUGAAAGAUAAUUAUCCAAGUCCUUUACAUAAAUAUAUCUUCUGGAAAAAUACAGGCGUGUUUUGCCUGAAAAGCUCUGCAUCCUCCUAGGUAACAAAGACCUGGGCUUUCAAUUCCUGAUCCCUGCUGCAUGGAUGGCCUUGAGGGGAUGGACCCUGUGCCAGUGGCUGUGCAGUGGGCAGACUGGCACAGCCUGACUGCAUGGCACGCUGCUCCUGUUCCUGUUGCCAUGGCUCCACUCUGGAAUGGAGCUCUGGGGCUCUUAGGCUCCGUGUUGUUGUGCUGAUGGCCCUGAAAUGCAGGGUUUUCUUAUGCUUUUCCAUCUUCAUUUCCCAUGGUGAAGUCGGGGUUGCUGCUGUCCCUCUCAGCAGCAGUGGUCCAGGUGAGUGGGCAGGGGCUCCUGAGGGCAGCGAAACUCUUUGUGUUGGACCCUGCAAGGUGCAGAUGCUUGGCUGAUGCAUGCAGAAGUGCUCUGCUGGAGGCUGAGUUCUUACACUGAUGUCUGCCCCAGGUGAGGAUCUGGUUUUUGAUAGUCUUUUGCACCUAAUAGCUUGGGUGUACAUAGUCAUGUAAACCAAUGGGAGGGGAAAGCAAAUUGGAUUCAAGUAUGGAUUCAUUGUUUGAAUUAUUUUGCUUUAUUUUUUUUAAUCUUGUCCAUUGUUUCGUGUUCAUUGCUAUUUUUGUUUGAGGCACUUGAAGCAGUAUUUGCUUAACAGCCUAAGGUGAAGGGGUUGUCAUUUAGGGAGCAGAUCAGGCUGCUGUUGAAUUUACCUGUAUCAUUUGUUAUUUAGGAGCAGCAUCUCAGCUCUGUGCUACCAUGCAGACAUGGGCAGGCAUGGUUCAAUUGGUAGCUCGGCAUCAUUGGCUAUAAAGUAUAACACUGGGCUUUGUGUGACAGCUUUAAUCAACUUCUGCCUCAAGGUCACCCUUGGCUUCUGAGUUAUGGGAGUACCAAAACCUGCUGUGAUCUAUUUUGAUGAAGGUAAGUCAGUCCAUGUUUUCUGGCAGUUUGACUGUUCUGUGAUCUGUAACUACACUGCUCCUAGUACUAAAAAUAUGCUCCGGACAAAUAUGUGUGGAUGGACAGCUCAAAUAAUAGCAAUCCAUCUUAGCAGAUGGCAUUAGUUCUUCUAUUGUUUCCUUCAGCUGACUUCUCCUUUCAUAAAAGGAGAGGCUCAAUUACUCCCUUAGGAGAUUCAGAACAACCAUCUUUGUCAGAAAAGUUUAGCUUUCUCGUUCAACACUUACAUGGUUUUGGAAGUGAGAAAGGGAUUUGCAAAGGUGUUUGGGCAGCUCAAGUCAGGAUGAGAAGAGGGAGUUGGGUGCCCAGCAGUGCUCCAGCCACUAAGUCCAAUGGCUGCAGAAAUCAAAACCUCCUAUUUGCUUUCUCCCUUGGGCUCCCAUUUUCAGACUCACAUACAGUAGGAUCAGGAGAAUGGCUUGCAAGGUCAGCAUGUGUGCCUUAGGAAUGAUAUGUGACUUGUGUCAGAAUGAUUGCCAAGUGACUGUUAAAAAAAUGUAGUGGAUUCUGUGGUGAAAAUCUGUGGAGUGCUGUAUGUGGGCUACGAUCGUAUCCAGAUAAAACUCAAAUUUACCCUAUAGUUGCAGUUGUGAUGUGACUGAUUAACAGAACCAUGUGUCCAUGUGGACAGCUGGCACACUUACUGAACUGUUCCAUGUUGGUCAAGGAACUCUGAAGCUGAUCUCUGCACAGAGGACAUCUGCCUGCCUGCAGGCAAGGUGGGAGGUGGAGCUUCAGCCAGCCACCUGGCAGCAGGCUGCUCAGGGAAGGGGCAAAGUUGCUGUCCCUGGGGUGUUAAGAAACGUGGAUGUGGC